UCUGGCGGUGGGGUCUAGAAACAGAGAUGGAAAUGAGAACCCCGGCCUGGGGGCGGCCCAGUCCCCAGGGCCCACCAGGGGCCAGGAAUUCCUCCUCGCACCCUCUAGGACCUCACCUUCUCAGGCCCGUGAGGUGCUGGCGUCUGGGCCAUUUCAGUGCCUGGGCUCCCGCCCAGAGCCAGCCAGUGACUUCUGGUAUCGCAUGGACCAGAAGGCCUGACGGCUUGCUCAACAGCUAGCUCUAGAAACAAAGCUCUCACUCCCCACGGAAGCCAAUCCUCUCCAGGUGCGGAGUUCCAACAGUGAGGACACCCUCCCUGGGAGCUUCACCAUGACCCUCACUCUGCCCCUGGGCCUUGAUCCCACCCGGCCAGAGAAGUCAGUACACACCCGGGACACAUCACUUAAAACUGCUCCAGCCUCAGUUCCCCUGUGCAGAACGGGAAUACCAGUACCAGCGGUCUCAGGGGACGCUGUGGAUGAAGCGUGCUUAGAAGAGCACCUGGCACUUCCUAAGUGCCACCACCGAUAACGGCACAGGCGCAACGGACUGGAAACACGUUCAAACAGAAACCUGCACACGAAUAUUCACAGCGGCCAAAAGGCCCAUCAGGUGCUGAGUCGAUACACAAAACGUGGCGCAGCCAUUGGUUGGGACAUUAUUUGGCCACGAGAAGGAACGUGCAACCUGGAUGAACCUUGCACGCUGUGCUAAAUGAAAAGAAGGCAGCCAGAGAAGAACGCACGUUGUAUAGCGCCCCCCAGGUGAACAGGGCCCACGUCUCCUUUCGGGGCAAUGGCCCAGCUGGGUGGGGUGGCUGUACAAGACUGAGGGUGCUAAGAGGUCACCCAACUGUACUCUCUAAGAUGGUUCAGAUGGCGACUUCCCUCUAUGAAUUUUCCCACAAUAGAAAAAAAAGAUUACCGUUAAAAGAAAGAAACAGGGACCAUCCUGUGGUUAUUGCCAACCUACAGAGAAGGGUCAGAGGGACAAGGGGUGAAGUGAUCUGAUUCCCCAAGGUCCUGGACCAAGGCAGGGUUUGAAUCUAGUGUUUCUGAAAUGCAAGUUCCUUUUAUUUUUAUUUAUUUAUUUAUUUGACAGAGAGGGGGUGGGGAGAGAGCCUAAGAGGGGACAGUGGCAGGGAGAAGGAGAGGGAGAAGCAGGCUCCUCGCUGAGCAGAGGGCCAGCUGUGGGGCUCCAUCCCAGGACCCUGGGAUCAUGACCUGAGCCGAAGGUGGACACUCAACCGACUGAGCCACCCAGGUGCCCCCAAGUUCCCUUUUCUUUAGUCACUGUCUCUCCUUUCUAUCCCUCCACACCACCUUUCUCUACUGUGAAGCAUCCGCUGGACCGUUUGCUGAAAAUAAGUGACAAGUGAUGUGGGAAGCGUCCCUCGGAGGGGGGAGGCCCAGACUCUGGCGUUCGGCUCCAGGAACCCUGGCCUGCUAUUCCUGCCUCCAAUCCUGCCCCGUUGGUGCUCCAGCUCUGUGUGUGCCCAGGAGAUGACCAUGAGCAGAGCCCUGUGGCUGUGUAGUGAAGGAAAGGGAACCCCUCACAGCUGGACGGGGUGCGUCCUCGAGCAGAGCUGCGCUGAAGAAGCCAGACCCUGGACUGUGAGAUUAGGAGGAGGCCGGGGAUAUGCCUUCCUCCCAGGGACAAGCUCUCUCCCUCCUGUGUGGUAGAGGAAGGGUCAGGACCACACUCACAGGGGGAACCCCGGGAACUGCCUGGCCAAACCCGUGCUGGGGGCAGGAAGGGGAAACCCAGCACAAGAUGGGGCCACAUGCUGCACCGGAACCCCCAGCCGGGGCUCUCCUUGGUCUCAAGCACUCUGAUGUGGGAUGUGGGCUCCCCUAUCAUUUGCUAUAAUGGACUGAUUUCUUUUGCCCCCUCUUCCUUCCUGGAUUUCUUUUUCUCAACAUCUUUACAGAAAGGAAGGAGAGCGGUCCCUCUGGAUCAGAGCAGAGUGUGUAUCUGGGGGAAGGGGAGAGAACAGACGAUCUCCUGGGCCUCUAGGAACGCAUACAAUCUCCGCGGAGUGCUCUACACCAGUAUUUUUCAAACUGUAGUCUGUGACCCACUGGCGGAUCAUGGAAGCAAUCCAGUAGGUCGGGACUAGCAUUUUUAAACGUUACACAAUAGUACAGAACAGAAAGCAUUAGAGCACAUCCCAUGUAACAAGUGUAAUUUGCUGUGCAAAACUAUCACUUUAGUCACAAUUAGGUAUGUCCAUGUGUAUAUACUGUAGACUAGAUAUAAAAUAUAUUUCUCAGGGGGUAGUGGUCAAAAAUUGAAACCACCGUGAGGAUGGCUAUUAUAUUACGGAAAAAAGUGAGGAUGAAUAUGUAAAGAAAACAGAGCCCCUGCGCACUGUUGGUGGGAAUGCAGGACGGCGUAGCCCACCAUGGAAAAUUGCAGAGUGACUCCUCAAAACAUAAAAAAAUAGAAUGACCGGGACCCUGGGUGGCUCAGUGGUUUGGCGCCUGCCUUCGGCCCAGAGCAUGAUCUUGGAGUUCCGGGAUCGAGUCCCACGUCAGGCUCCCUGCAUGGAGCCUGCUUCUCCCUCUGCCUGUGUCUCUGCCUCUCUCUCUCUCUCUGUAUCUCUCAUGAAUAAAUAAAAUCCUUUUUUAUUUUUUAAUUUUCUUAAAAAAAAUCCAGAAUGACCAUAUGAUCCAGCAAUUCUGCAGCUGGGGUUAUUUUACAUUAUGUUGUAUUUUAUCACCAUGGAAGUUUUUUAAAAGAAGUUGAAAAGGUCCUUUUGCAUCUGGAUCUACGACUCACUGGUAGGUGAAGACCCCCUUUCCACGUGAGCUAUGAACGCCCCACAGGUGGGCCUGCCUUCUUCUCUCUGCCUCUGCCCCACCCAUGACACCCUGACUCUCCUGUUAACGAACCAGGGGACACACAGGAGGGCUCACUAAAGACAAAAAAAUCAUGAUGACUGAUUUCCAGUCACUUUAUAGCUUUAAAAUGUUUUAUUUUUUUCAUUGAAGUAUUAUAACGUCAUUACAAAAAGAGCCUAGAGGGAUCCCUGGGUGGCUCAGGGGUUUAGUGCCUGCCUUUGGCUGAGGGUGUGACCCCGGGGUCCCGGGAUCAAGUCCCACAUCAGGCUCCCUGCAUGGAGCCUGCUUCUCCCUCUGCGUGUGUCUCUGCUUCUCUCUCUCUCUGUGUGUCUAUUAUGAAUAAAUAAAUAAAAUCUUAAAAAAAAAAAAA
This is a long non-coding RNA of Nyctereutes procyonoides (raccoon dog), 3214 nucleotides long. RefSeq lists it as uncharacterized. NCBI's taxonomy places the organism in Eukaryota, Metazoa, Chordata, Mammalia, Carnivora, Canidae. The record is from RefSeq and is a predicted model, not a curated record. The transcript is spliced from 2 exons.